GGGAUACCUGAAAUUUCCCAUGGCGAACUGCUCAGUAACACAUGAUCAACUUACCCUAUUGAGAAAGAUAACCUCGGGAAACUGAGGAUAAUAUUUCAUAGUUGAAUUGGCUUGGAAAAGUUUUUCUNCAAAAGGGAUAGGGAAAAUGGUCUCUAUCCGCUAUAGGAUAGGAUCGUGUUCGAUUAUGGUAGUUGGUGAGGUAACGGCUCACCAAGCCGAUAAUCGAUAGGGGCCGUGAGAGCGGGAGCCCCGAGAUGGGUACUGAGACAACGACCCAGGCCUUACGAGGCGCAGCAGGUGCGAAACCUCCACAAUACACGAAAGUGUGAUGGGGUUACCCAAAGUGUUCAUUAUUGAACUGUGGUAGGAGAGUAAUGUCCCCUACUAGAAAGGAGAGGGCAAGGCUGGUGCCAGCCGCCGCGGUAAAACCAGCUCUUCAAGUGGUCGGGAUAAUUAUUGGGCUUAAAGUGUCCGUAGCCGGUUUGGUAAGUUCCUGGUAAAAUCGGAUAGCUUAACUAUCUGUAUGCUAGGAAUACUGCUAUACUAUAGGGCGGGAGAGGUCUGAGGUACUACAGGGUAGGGGUUGA
This 587-nucleotide ribosomal RNA is filed under the name uncultured archaeon. RNAcentral describes it as "bacterial SSU rRNA". It matches the Rfam family "Archaeal small subunit ribosomal RNA", at positions 64 to 636 of the family's 1478-position model. The record is from RNAcentral.